Solea solea (common sole) is the source of this 1592-nucleotide long non-coding RNA. RefSeq lists it as uncharacterized. The record is from RefSeq and is a predicted model, not a curated record. The transcript is spliced from 3 exons. Lineage: Eukaryota; Metazoa; Chordata; Actinopteri; Pleuronectiformes; Soleidae.
GGUACAGUGGCUGAAGAAAGUAUGUCCAAACUGAGCUGCAUUGUGUUAAAGGUUGACAGUUACUGCUUGAACAACAAAAGACAGUUUUUUAUGUGUUCCUCUCACUUCACAAGAAAGUCGAUUGUAAAGGCAUUAUUCUGUCUGCCACAUUGCUGUUUGUUUUACACUAAACUACUAUCUCUUUGUACAUGAUUAGUUUGCUCCAUUAUAGAGAAUACACAUGUAAUGCUUUCCAGACUACACUUCUGAACACCAUGGGCAAAUCAUGAACAAGCUGUUGCAACUAUCAGGAUGUGAUCCCCCUUAACCUGGUAAUAAAUGACACCUCCCAUCCUGCACACCUGCAGGAUCUAUUACAUAAGGUUAUUUUAUCUCUCUCUCACUCUCACACACACACACACUGGUAGAAAUGUAAAAUUACUGUCACUAGCCAUUUUGUACAUUAUACUCACCACAUUUUUAAUUUUAAAGAAGCUAAAAAGGGCACAUUGCAUCAUGAGGAGAAGAGGAAAGCAGAAAUGCAACACAAGGACGUCAACUGCUGUAAAAUGCCAGCAACAAACCUUUAAAUUGAUUAAGUCAGUUGUCACCUGUGUGAUAUCAAUACCUUAUUGUUUGUUUGGAGCUUAAAUGAUCAGAAAAUCAAACAUUUUAUCAACAAUUAAUAGCUCAUGUAAUCUAUAAGAAACUGUGACAUUCUUGUUUGACAUCCGAUGAGCAAAUCUUGAUCAAAUAAAUGUAUGGAAUUUUUUUUUACAGAAAAGGAAACUCAUUUCAUUAUUUAAUUAAUUCAUCCCACUGCGACACUUAUGUAAGACUGAGUCUAUAUGAUAUGAUUCACUGCAGUCUUGGUGAGUUUGUCACCCCCUGACAGAUCACUGACUCUCAGGUUAAGAUAGAGCAGAGUUACGUUUGAAUGUUGUGAAAGCAUGUCCAAGGUCUUGGUUGAGUUAUUAUACAUGCAUACCUCUGCAGUCAGUGUUGUGUAACCUGCUGUUCCCUGACUCAUGUUUGUGAACGACAGGGAGUGGUCAUUGGGGUCUUUGAUAGCCCAUUGUCCCGCAAGAAUGUUUCCAGGCUCCCCACUUCCACUGGGAUGAAAAAUGUGUCGUAUUACCACUCAAAAAUUUCCACACAAAUGCUGAUGCUGCACUGGAGGUAAAAAUCUCAACCCAUUUAAACUGCCCAUGACAUGCAUGAUCUGUGAGCAGAGGUCUAUGUUUGUUUGUCGCUCUUUGUUCUUGCUGAUCCAUGAGCUAAUAUUGUUUCCUGUUUGAUGAGUGAGGGCAGUAAGAAGCGACAUUAUAUGUAACAUUCCUCUGUCCCUUUUCAGCAAGCUGCAGACAAUGGGUGGUACCUUACUGACUGAAGUUUGGAAAGUUUGAAUCAGGCAAGGAGAAGGCAGCUCUAGGGUCCAGUCAGUCUGGAGGUUGACUAGGAACAUCUGUCCAGGGAUUUCAGAUGAAGAAUAGUCCCAGGCUCACUGGUGCAUUUACAGAAAUGGACUAGACUGCAGUGCUUCAGUUCUGCCAGCAGAUGUCAGACACAUACGCUGUACUGUGCCUCACAAACCACACUAAAAUGUCUUUGUG